CUCAAUUGAAAACUUCCAACCCCAAAGGCCUCAUUUUGCUAUUUACCAAUUCACUAAGAAGAGAACGAACAACAAUGAAUGUCUAAAGUUUGCCAAUAUUCCCUAAAUAUUAAAGGGAAAUUUGCAGGAUUAGCCUUCGCUAGGGGUGGUCUUUAAUUUUUACCCCUUAAAAUGGUGGUCUUUAAAUUUUGACCUCGGGCAGAAAUUCUAUCUUAAUAGCAGAAUUCUGCCUGAAAUUCUGCCUUGAGGCAAAUUUUCCCUUACGAUUUUUUUUUAAAAUUGAGCUGGGAUUUGAACCCAUAACCUCGGGGUAUUAAGAGAAGAGCAAAACGUAAAGGCCACCAAUUUGAAGGGUAAAAAUUAAAGACCACCCCAGAUGAAGGCCAAUCCUCGCAAAAAAAAAAAAAGGAAUAUUAAACACAACUCAAAUACUAUUAUUAAUAAAAAAGGGCUACUAGGUGCAAAUCCUACAUAUAAAAACCUGCCGGUUGGGCCCAUUUCUCGAAUAGUGAUUUGCCGAAAGCCCAUGAAUGAUAAGUUCUAGGGUUUCCUUUUAUAUUCCACCAGCCCUCUGUUGCCUUGUUAUUGUGCCGCAUCUCUUCUUCGAUCAAUAGGUCAACAAGUAAAGAGAGUCUCCUUCCGUCCUAGCUGAUUCACCAUGAGAGCCAAGUGGAAGAAGAAGCGUAUGAGGAGAUUGAAGAGGAAGCGCCGAAAGAUGAGACAGAGAUCUAAGUAGAAGAAGCUUAUUUGGCCUUAGGUUAUUGCAGUUUUUUGUGUUUCCUUUUCAGAACUUUGCAGUUAUAUUCUCUAGUGUUUUAGUGCUGAUGGCACCUAAUCAAAUUCUGCUUCUGUGCUCUUUUGAAACUCUGUUAGCAGUUUUCUGGUUAUAAAUCUUAUGAUAUUUACCCCUUUUCACUCGA
This is a long non-coding RNA of Lycium barbarum (goji berry), 920 nucleotides long. RefSeq lists it as uncharacterized. The record is from RefSeq and is a predicted model, not a curated record. NCBI's taxonomy places the organism in Eukaryota, Viridiplantae, Streptophyta, Magnoliopsida, Solanales, Solanaceae. The transcript has 2 exons.